RNAcentral lists this ribosomal RNA (445 nucleotides) under uncultured Ferruginibacter sp. RNAcentral describes it as "bacterial SSU rRNA". It matches the Rfam family "Bacterial small subunit ribosomal RNA", at positions 354 to 796 of the family's 1533-position model. The record is from RNAcentral. Lineage: Bacteria; Pseudomonadati; Bacteroidota; Chitinophagia; Chitinophagales; Chitinophagaceae.
GUAAGGAAUAUUGGUCAAUGGACGAAAGUCUGAACCAGCCAUGCCGCGUGAAGGAUGAAGGUCCUCUGGAUUGUAAACUUCUUUUAUCUGGGACGAAAAAAGGGAAUUCUUUCUCACUUGACGGUACCAGAAGAAUAAGCACCGGCUAACUCCGUGCCAGCAGCCGCGGUAAUACGGAGGGUGCAAGCGUUAUCCGGAUUCACUGGGUUUAAAGGGUGCGUAGGUGGGCAGUUAAGUCAGUGGUGAAAUCUCCGGGCUUAACCCGGAAACUGCCAUUGAUACUAUCUGUCUUGAAUACUCUGGAGGUAAGCGGAAUAUGUCAUGUAGCGGUGAAAUGCUUAGAUAUGACAUAGAACACCGAUUGCGAAGGCAGCUUACUACGGAGUCAUUGACACUGAGGCACGAAAGCGUGGGGAUCAAACAGGAUUAGAUACCCCAGUAGUCC